CUGUGGGCAAGGCAGGAAAACUCUAGCUACAGGAGGAUUUUUUUUUUAAUUGUAGGGGCCUUUCCAUUAGCUAGAAGCAACAGAAGUUUUCCCCAGAACAUUGCUGCCAAACAAACGACCUCAAACUUAAUGUCAGAAGCCGACAAAUGUCUGUUGCUCCCACGGUUCUGUGAGUUGCUGGAACUCACUUGGGUGACUCUUGGGGUUUUCUCAUAGGACUGCAGACAAGAUCCCCCAACAGGAGUCUCCAGGAAUCUCUCUCUCCUAGAGCCCAAGGACCGCUGGCCUGCGUCUGACACAACCCCAAGACCUCUGUUGCCCAAGAAGCUUCUCCACGUGGUUUCUGAAGGUGAACUGGCUGAGGGUGGACAGGAUUUCUUGUGGAUCCUCAGGUUUCUUUGCAAGACUUGGCAGGGAGCUGUCCUGGUCUGGUUUCCUCUGCUACUCCCCUGUUGCCUCUACAUCAAGGGGAGAGGAUUAAACUCCACCUCUUCAUGACAGUAGCAGUGUGGAGCUCCUCUGUAUUCUAGUGCAGCGACUUAGUGUCUUCACAGGAGGAAGGAGUUGCCGCCAAACCUCGUAGAUGUGACAGACACCAGAAGUCCCUGGCUUGCUGCUUGAAGCCAGAGACUGUGAGAGAUUUGUCAAGGCUGAGCCCAUAUACAGGCCCGGAGGCUGUGUAAGGACCAUACUGAGCUGAAGAUGAGGCAGUGAGCCCUAAACCCAAAGGAGGAUCAUGUCCCCAGGUAUUUUCAGGUUUGACUUUAGUCGAUGGUGAUACUAUCGUUCAUGGACAGAAAUCUAACCCCAGAGCCCUCGAGGAGAGAGAUCACCAGGCUGGCCCGGAGGUGUGAGUUCCCACGAACAUGAAGGGGCCGGAAGCCAGAGAUGAGAGAAUCAUGAACAGACACAAGGAAGAAGAUUCCCAAAGGUGACAGCUUGGGAGCAGCCAGCAUCUCCUCUGGCCAGUCCCCUCCCUCCAUCUUCUCCCACCAGAGCAACAGUUCAUGGCCCAGGUGUCCCUGAAGAAGCCGGGCAGGAUCCUAGCCAUUCUCUACAUAUUGACUGACUCUGCUUCCUCUACCUGAGACCGUGGAAUGCCUUUCUUUACUUUGUUUCUUGGGGCCUCCACACUCAAGGGUCAAACUGACUGCCCCUUCAACUGUCGACAAUAUGCCUCUGAGGAUGCUGGAUUGGAGAUUCCGCCUCUCUUCUUGUUUUUGCUCUACAGUUGGGAACAGAAGCCUCUAAGAGUCCUUCAAGCCCACACUGACUUGCCUCCUGGACAGGUGGAAUAAAUUAAAUCCCCAGGAUUUAGGAAGAAGACUUUAGGCUUUCAACCUGUGUGUGGCCUAAGGGCCUGCCCUCUGUGGGAUGGCAAAAACUAGCCAGUCCCCCCCCCCGGGGGGGGGGUGAUGACUUAAUUAUAAUCCCAUCGUUCAAUUAGAGCCGUUCUGAGGGAGAGAAGUAAACAAAGGGAAAUUCCCCAGAAUUCCCUGUACCCAAUAUUUCUCUUACUUCAGAGACCACCCAGAACUCAUUAAAAACAAUAACAAAACCCGGCAGACUCUAGCAAACCCUAAGCCAAAUGGCUCCAACUACGUGACUCUGGGAAAGACAUCAUCCAUGCUGAUAAAGACUUUCCAAUAUGGCUGCCUUCAGGUCCCCCAAGCUCUGUAAAUCAGCCUUCGAAAUUCACUGGUCCCUGUCGUUAGCUUUGGUGAAACUCCACUUUGGUUUGUCAUUGGGACCUUAUGAAGAGGGGAUAGACAUUGUUUAAUCCCCAUGGGAGAAAAUUCUCACAACAGGCAGUGAAUGUAUUUGUCAUGAUAUUAAGAAACCAGUAGGAUGUUAGGAUGAAAAAAAUGAAAAUAUUUUUAGUAAAGAAAGAUUUGUGUAUGAAAAUUAA
Long non-coding RNA from Peromyscus leucopus (white-footed mouse), 1909 nucleotides. RefSeq lists it as uncharacterized. NCBI's taxonomy places the organism in Eukaryota, Metazoa, Chordata, Mammalia, Rodentia, Cricetidae. The record is from RefSeq and is a predicted model, not a curated record. The transcript has 4 exons.